This 272-nucleotide long non-coding RNA is filed under the name Brassica rapa (field mustard). RNAcentral describes it as "long non-coding RNA (BRAP_LNC004779)". Lineage: Eukaryota; Viridiplantae; Streptophyta; Magnoliopsida; Brassicales; Brassicaceae. The record is from RNAcentral.
AAGGAUCCAUCCGUCAUCCUUCUUAUUUGAUUUGUUUUCAUUUUGCAUAUCAUUUAGUUUGAAUCAUAAAAAUCCAUAAAAAUCAUAUAUGCUUCAGUUUAUCAUUUCUCAUUUAGUUUACUUUAUGUUCUUCAUAUUUAAACCAUAAGAACUCAUAAAAAGGUUUUUCAUUUGUCUCAGGUACAAAUCGGCCGAUCCAUUCUUCCAUCGCAGCCGCAUAGCCGAUCGUCUGUCCGUCUGUCCAGUCCGAUCCAAACCAAACCUCAGUCAUG